GCUGACUUGUGUGAAAUUUAUACAGAAAUAAAAUUUGUGAAGUAACGAUUGCAAUCUUCAACACUCCUCCUAUAGCCAAACCUACAUUGAGAAACAAGAGUGAUGAUGAUGAUGAUGAAACCAUUUGGGAUUGAUUCCUGAGAAGUAUGAUUUAAACACAAAAAUCUAUGGAUAAACGGAUCUGUUCACAGGAGUUUGACCACCAGCAAAAUCACCUGUGACAGAUAAAUUGACACUGUAUGUAUGUAUGUAUGUAUGUAUGUAUGUAUGUAUGCAUGCAGUGUAUGUAUGUAUGUAUGUGAUGUACUUACAAAGGAUUGUUCAAAUUAAAAUCAUCAAACCUCAAGGCUUAGCUUCAAAGGGAGAAAAGGAUAAACCCUAAAUCAUAAAUAUUUUAUUUACCUCGAAGAAUGAGUCAAGAAGCUUCGCUCCAAAACGAAAACGAAGAAAAAUAA
This is a long non-coding RNA of Raphanus sativus (radish), 455 nucleotides long. RefSeq lists it as uncharacterized. Lineage: Eukaryota; Viridiplantae; Streptophyta; Magnoliopsida; Brassicales; Brassicaceae. The transcript is spliced from 2 exons. The record is from RefSeq and is a predicted model, not a curated record.